RNAcentral lists this ribosomal RNA (486 nucleotides) under uncultured soil bacterium. RNAcentral describes it as "bacterial SSU rRNA". It matches the Rfam family "Bacterial small subunit ribosomal RNA", at positions 26 to 529 of the family's 1533-position model. The record is from RNAcentral.
AGGACGAACGCUGGCGGCGUGCUUAACACAUGCAAGUCGAACGAGGUUCAAUCAGUCGCAAGACUGAGGAAGAUCUAGUGGCGAACGGGUGCGUAACACGUGAGGAACCUAUCCCAGUCUCUGGAAUAACAGGUGGAAACACCUGCUAAUGCCGGAUGCCGUUGAACCAUCGCAUGGUGGACCAACGAAAGAUUUAUCGGAUUGGGGAGGGCCUCGCGGCCUAUCAGCUUGUUGGUGAGGUAACGGCUCACCAAGGCGUCGACGGGUAGCUGGUCUGAGAGGAUGAUCAGCCACACUGGGACUGAGACACGGCCCAGACUCCUACGGGAGGCAGCAGUGGGGAAUCUUGCACAAUGGGCGAAAGCCUGAUGCAGCGACGCCGCGUGCGGAAGAGGCCCUAGGUUGUAACCGCUUUCAGCAGGAAGAAAUGACGUACUGUAGAAGAAGGUGCGCCAACUACGUGCCAGUCAGCCGACGGUAAUCGUA